GGGUACAUGGUGUAGUUGGUUAUCACAUCCGCGACUCUGUCUGCAGGGGGUGUUGGGUUCAAUUCCCAGUGUGUCCA
Non-coding RNA from Marasmius oreades (fairy-ring Marasmius), 77 nucleotides. NCBI's taxonomy places the organism in Eukaryota, Fungi, Basidiomycota, Agaricomycetes, Agaricales, Marasmiaceae. The record is from the annotation of a RefSeq genome assembly.